Molecule: ribosomal RNA, 109 nt
Filed under: Cercospora christellae
Lineage: Eukaryota; Fungi; Ascomycota; Dothideomycetes; Mycosphaerellales; Mycosphaerellaceae
Description: partial 28S ribosomal RNA
Rfam family: Eukaryotic large subunit ribosomal RNA
Source: RNAcentral
GUUGACCUCGGAUCAGGUAGGGAUACCCGCUGAACUUAAGCAUAUCAAUAAGCGGAGGAAAAGAAACCAACAGGGAUUGCCCUAGUACGGNNGGGGGAAAGGGGNCAAA